RNAcentral lists this ribosomal RNA (459 nucleotides) under uncultured bacterium. RNAcentral describes it as "partial 16S ribosomal RNA". It matches the Rfam family "Bacterial small subunit ribosomal RNA", at positions 338 to 795 of the family's 1533-position model. The record is from RNAcentral.
CCUACGGGUGGCAGCAGUAGGGAAUAUUGCUCAAUGGGGGAAACCCUGAAGCAGCCAAGUAGCGUGAAGGAUGACUGCCCUAUGGGUUGUAAACUUCUUUUAUAUGGGAAUAAAAUGUUCCACGUGUGGGAUUUUGUAUGUACCAUAUGAAUAAGGAUCGGCUAACUCCGUGCCAGCAGCCGCGGUAAUACGGAGGAUGCGAGCGUUAUCCGGAUUUAUUGGGUUUAAAGGGUGCGCAGGCGGAGGUGCAAGUCAGCGGUCAAAUUGCGGGGCUCAACCCCGUACUGCCGUUGAAACUGCAUCCCUUGAGUGCGCGAGAAGUAUGCGGAAUGCGUGGUGUAGCAGUGAAAUGCGUAGAUAUCGAGAGGAACACUCGUGGCGAAGGCGGGUUCCUGGACAUUAACUGACGCUGAGGCACGAAGGCCAGGGGAGCGAAAGGGAUUAGAUACCCGAGUAGUC